UGUGUGUAUAUGUGUGUGUGCAUGUGUGUGCGUGUGUGAGUGCACAUGCCUACACACACACACACACAUACACACACUUUUCCCAUACAACAGA
RNAcentral lists this microRNA precursor (94 nucleotides) under Tupaia belangeri (northern tree shrew). RNAcentral describes it as "miRNA (ENSTBEG00000019728.1)". The record is from RNAcentral. Lineage: Eukaryota; Metazoa; Chordata; Mammalia; Scandentia; Tupaiidae.